UCACUUUUACAUAAGUGAAGGUUUAUGGGACCAAUAAUCCAUCUCCUAAAUUUAGAGGACCGUUUAGUCAAUAAGAGACCCUUUAAAAGUGGUGAAACAGAAACAAUCCCCUAACUGGCCCCUAAAAAUGCUUAAGGGUCACUUAAAUCUUAUGGGUCGUUGGUGAAAUUGGGCAUUAGUCUGAUCUGUCUAGCUUAAUUUG
Long non-coding RNA from Maniola jurtina (meadow brown), 202 nucleotides. RefSeq lists it as uncharacterized. The transcript has 3 exons. NCBI's taxonomy places the organism in Eukaryota, Metazoa, Arthropoda, Insecta, Lepidoptera, Nymphalidae. The record is from RefSeq and is a predicted model, not a curated record.